GCCGGGGUGGCAGAGCGGACUAACGCGGCAGGCUCGAGACCUGUUGAUGCCUUGAAUUACAAAGCCUGCGUGGCUUUUAUGAGGAUGCAUCGCUUGGGUUCAAAUCCCAACCCCGGCG
Molecule: transfer RNA, 118 nt
Filed under: Methanobacteriota archaeon
Lineage: Archaea; Methanobacteriati; Methanobacteriota
Description: tRNA-Ser
Rfam family: tRNA
About the family: Transfer RNA (tRNA) molecules are approximately 80 nucleotides in length. Their secondary structure includes four short double-helical elements and three loops (D, anti-codon, and T loops).
Source: RNAcentral